GGGCAGCGAUAAAGUAAAACGCAUUUCGGUUGGCAAGGAGCUCUUGAUAGAGGGGGUCACGGCUAUGACGCCGGUGAAAAAAAGUGAGGAAAACAUUUCUUACAAUUCGGUGGAGGUUCACCUUGACACUCAGGCUCCUCGUAUUGGAAGUGGACGAGCAGGAUACUAUCACGUGCGCUCCAUCGGACCACCAACACAAGCUGAGUGAAUGACACAGUGGAAAAUUUUUAAGCUCGUGGUGGCAUUUUCCCAGCGUUACUCUCUUAGCCAGCGGGGAUUAUAUGUAACGCCUCAUAUUAUGAGGCACUUUCCAAGCUUUAUCUUCUGCGGCACAAACGAUCAUCACUGCAAAAUGGCUAGAUGAACGACAUGGCUCACCUCUUCCAACUGCAUCGAACAAGAUCGUGCAGUGGUUAUAAAUCUGAGCCGAGCCUGGGAAGAAGUGUAAUCAAAUCUAAGUGUUCUGCAGUUUCCCGUGCAUCCAGUCAACAAAAACAAUGUGUUUUUGACGAGUGAACCAAAGCUACAAUGACAAUACUUUCUUACUGUUUUACUGUGAAGAGAGGUGCACUUAUCCAACAACCUUGUCACAAACAUAAUGAUAACUUUCCGA
Schistocerca piceifrons (Central American locust) is the source of this 613-nucleotide long non-coding RNA. RefSeq lists it as uncharacterized. The record is from RefSeq and is a predicted model, not a curated record. Lineage: Eukaryota; Metazoa; Arthropoda; Insecta; Orthoptera; Acrididae. The transcript has 3 exons.